Molecule: ribosomal RNA, 2355 nt
Filed under: Enterobacter hormaechei
Lineage: Bacteria; Pseudomonadati; Pseudomonadota; Gammaproteobacteria; Enterobacterales; Enterobacteriaceae
Description: partial 23S ribosomal RNA
Source: RNAcentral
GUGACUGCGUACCUUUUGUAUAAUGGGUCAGCGACUUAUAUUCUGUAGCAAGGUUAACCGUAUAGGGGAGCCGAAGGGAAACCGAGUCUUAACUGGGCGUUAAGUUGCAGGGUAUAGACCCGAAACCCGGUGAUCUAGCCAUGGGCAGGUUGAAGGUUGGGUAACACUAACUGGAGGACCGAACCGACUAAUGUUGAAAAAUUAGCGGAUGACCUGUGGCUGGGGGUGAAAGGCCAAUCAAACCGGGAGAUAGCUGGUUCUCCCCGAAAGCUAUUUAGGUAGCGCCUCGUGAACUCAUCUUCGGGGGUAGAGCACUGUUUCGGCUAGGGGGCCAUCCCGGCUUACCAACCCGAUGCAAACUACGAAUACCGAAGAAUGUUAUCACGGGAGACACACGGCGGGUGCUAACGUCCGUCGUGAAGAGGGAAACAACCCAGACCGCCAGCUAAGGUCCCAAAGUCAUGGUUAAGUGGGAAACGAUGUGGGAAGGCACAGACAGCCAGGAUGUUGGCUUAGAAGCAGCCAUCAUUUAAAGAAAGCGUAAUAGCUCACUGGUCGAGUCGGCCUGCGCGGAAGAUGUAACGGGGCUAAACCAUGCACCGAAGCUGCGGCAGCGACACUAUGUGUUGUUGGGUAGGGGAGCGUUCUGUAAGCCGUUGAAGGUGUGCUGUGAGGCAUGCUGGAGGUAUCAGAAGUGCGAAUGCUGACAUAAGUAACGAUAAAGCGGGUGAAAAGCCCGCUCGCCGGAAGACCAAGGGUUCCUGUCCAACGUUAAUCGGGGCAGGGUGAGUCGACCCCUAAGGCGAGGCCGAAAGGCGUAGUCGAUGGGAAACAGGUUAAUAUUCCUGUACUUGGUGUUACUGCGAAGGGGGGACGGAGAAGGCUAUGUCAGCCGGGCGACGGUUGUCCCGGUUUAAGCAUGUAGGCGGAGGUUCCAGGUAAAUCCGGUACCUUAUUAACGCUGAGGUGUGAUGACGAGGCACUACGGUGCUGAAGUGAUAAAUGCCCUGCUUCCAGGAAAAGCCUCUAAGCAUCAGGUAACACGAAAUCGUACCCCAAACCGACACAGGUGGUCAGGUAGAGAAUACCAAGGCGCUUGAGAGAACUCGGGUGAAGGAACUAGGCAAAAUGGUGCCGUAACUUCGGGAGAAGGCACGCUGAUAKGUAGGUGAAGYCCCUGCGGRCGGAGCUGAAAUCAGUCGAAGAUACCAGCUGGCUGCAACUGUUUAUUAAAAACACAGCACUGUGCAAACACGAAAGUGGACGUAUACGGUGUGACGCCUGCCCGGUGCCGGAAGGUUAAUUGAUGGGGUUAGCGGCAACGCGAAGCUCUUGAUCGAAGCCCCGGUAAACGGCGGCCGUAACUAUAACGGUCCUAAGGUAGCGAAAUUCCUUGUCGGGUAAGUUCCGACCUGCACGAAUGGCGUAAUGAUGGCCAGGCUGUCUCCACCCGAGACUCAGUGAAAUUGAACUCGCUGUGAAGAUGCAGUGUACCCGCGGCAAGACGGAAAGACCCCGUGAACCUUUACUAUAGCUUGACACUGAACACUGGUCCUUGAUGUGUAGGAUAGGUGGGAGGCUUUGAAGCGUGGACGCCAGUCUGCGUGGAGCCRYCCUUGAAAUACCACCCUUUAAUGGCUGGUGUUCUAACGUAGACCCGURAUCCGGGUUGCGGACAGUGUCUGGUGGGUAGUUUGACUGGGGCGGUCUCCUCCCAAAGAGUAACGGAGGAGCACGAAGGUUGGCUAAUCCUGGUCGGACAUCAGGAGGUUAGUGCAAUGGCAUAAGCCAGCUUGACUGCGAGCGUGACGGCGCGAGCAGGUGCGAAAGCAGGUCAUAGUGAUCCGGUGGUUCUGAAUGGAAGGGCCAUCGCUCAACGGAUAAAAGGUACUCCGGGGAUAACAGGCUGAUACCGCCCAAGAGUUCAUAUCGACGGCGGUGUUUGGCACCUCGAUGUCGGCUCAUCACAUCCUGGGGCUGAAGUAGGUCCCAAGGGUAUGGCUGUUCGCCAUUUAAAGUGGUACGCGAGCUGGGUUUAGAACGUCGUGAGACAGUUCGGUCCCUAUCUGCCGUGGGCGCUGGAGAAUUGAGGGGGGCUGCUCCUAGUACGAGAGGACCGGAGUGGACGCAUCACUGGUGUUCGGGUUGUCAUGCCAAUGGCACUGCCCGGUAGCUAAAUGCGGAAGAGAUAAGUGCUGAAAGCAUCUAAGCACGAAACUUGCCCCGAGAUGAGUUCUCCCUGAGACUUUAAGUCUCCUGAAGGAACGUUGAAGACGACGACGUUGAUAGGUCGGGUGUGUAAGCGCAGCGAUGCGUUGAGCUAACCGAUACUAAUGAACCGUGAGGCUUAACCUU